GAUUUGGGGUCGCCACAGGUUGGUAUCAAAGCCAUAAGCAUGAAUUUGCAAAGAGCCUCGAGCCUUUAUCUGGUGACAUCCCUUUAAGGGAAGGCACCGAAGCCAGACUCUCCGUAGGGGACGCCGAUUUAGUCGGUGGCAAGUUGAUAGGUACCCUUGUGAGGUGCUAUGGUUGGAAGCACCAUGAGUGUCACAGGUUGGUAUCAAAGCUGUAGGUUAUAAACUUUAGGAAUGCGAAACCUAGGUUAUAACCUUAGUAGAAUGGAGAACGAAAGUUAAGAUAGAUAUUCAGUGAACCAUGAGACGAAGUACUCUGGUGAAGAAUUAUAGGAUAUGAUGAGUCGAGAAGAUUCAUCAAGUGGUACUAAAUAAAAUAUUCCUUCAUUUUAUCGAUGAAUAUAUUUUAUUUCGGUACUAAUGUUGUCUCGUUUAUUGUGGUCAUAGGAUGGAUGACGAAAGUCAAGAUAGUAAUUCCUUGACCUAAGAGACGAUGGACUCUAGCGAGGAGUACACAGACAAUGAGAUGAUUAGAGAUUUGAUAGUUAGGAACGACGACUUAAAGGUUAGAAUCGAGCAAGCGGAGGCACGAAAUCGUACUCUCCAGAUUUCAGAACAGCAGUACAAGGACGCUGCUCACCAAACACAGAUGGAGUUAACCGAGCUACGAGAGAGGUUGGAGCAGAGGGAGAUACAGAUAUGACAGUUGAAGGUUGAGGUAGAAGCCAAAGACACCAGGAUAUAUACCUUGGAGCAGGCUUUAGACAUCGCCUUUAUGCGAUUCGAUGCAGAGUGGAUGGAGCUGCCUUUCGGCAGAGAAAGAUAGGCGUUGAUGUGUUUAUAGAGAUGGAUUGAAUAAAUUCAUCGUCAAACAAAAUAAGAGAUAACGUAUAUAAAACUCUUGAUUGCUGUGUAUAUAUACUAUAUGCUAAUCAGGGUAACUUAUGUAUGUAGAUGUCUGGUGGAAAAGAUAUGUGGAAUAAGAAGGAUCAGAUCCAUACCCCCGAGCUAAUAUCGAGGUCAACAGCUGAAAUAGAGGCUCACAGGGAACCCAAGUCGGACAAGGU
RNAcentral lists this long non-coding RNA (1064 nucleotides) under Panax ginseng (ginseng). RNAcentral describes it as "long non-coding RNA (PGIN_LNC010707)". Lineage: Eukaryota; Viridiplantae; Streptophyta; Magnoliopsida; Apiales; Araliaceae. The record is from RNAcentral.